This 481-nucleotide ribosomal RNA is filed under the name uncultured bacterium. Its description in RNAcentral is "partial 16S ribosomal RNA". It matches the Rfam family "Bacterial small subunit ribosomal RNA", at positions 28 to 523 of the family's 1533-position model. The record is from RNAcentral.
GACGAACGCUGGCGGCGUGCUUAACACAUGCAAGUCGAGCGGAAAGGCUCCUUCGGGGGUACUCGAGCGGCGAACGGGUGAGUAACACGUGAGUAAUCUGCCCUUGGCUUCGGGAUAGCCACCGGAAACGGUGAUUAAUACCGGAUACGACAACUUCUCGCAUGGGAUGGUUGUGGAAAGUUUUUUCGGCCAGGGAUGUGCUCGCGGCCUAUCCGCUUGAUGGUGAGGUAAUGGCUCACCAUGGCUUCGACGGGUAGCCGGCCUGAGAGGGUGACCGGUCACACUGGGACUGAGACACGGCCCAGACUCCUACGGGAGGCAGCAGUGGGGAAUAUUGGACAAUGGGCGGAAGCCUGAUCCAGCAACGCCGCGUGAGGGGUGACGGCCUUCGGGUUGUAAACCUCUUUCGGUAGGGACGAAGCGCAAGUGACGGUACCUACUAAAGAAGCACCGGCCAACUACGUGCCAGCAGCCGCAGUAA